Molecule: ribosomal RNA, 883 nt
Filed under: Psychrobacter sp. B2-1
Lineage: Bacteria; Pseudomonadati; Pseudomonadota; Gammaproteobacteria; Moraxellales; Moraxellaceae
Description: bacterial SSU rRNA
Rfam family: Bacterial small subunit ribosomal RNA
Source: RNAcentral
AUUGAACGCUGGCGGCAGGCUUAACACAUGCAAGUCGAGCGGUAACAKKWSWAGCUUGCUWSWMGMUGACGAGCGGCGGACGGGUGAGUAAUACUUAGGAAUCUACCUAGUAGUGGGGGAUAGCACGGGGAAACUCGUAUUAAUACCGCAUACGACCUACGGGAGAAAGGGGGCAGUUUACUGCUCUCGCUAUUAGAUGAGCCUAAGUCGGAUUAGCUAGAUGGUGGGGUAAAGGCCUACCAUGGCGACGAUCUGUAGCUGGUCUGAGAGGAUGAUCAGCCACACCGGGACUGAGACACGGCCCGGACUCCUACGGGAGGCAGCAGUGGGGAAUAUUGGACAAUGGGGGAAACCCUGAUCCAGCCAUGCCGCGUGUGUGAAGAAGGCCUUUUGGUUGUAAAGCACUUUAAGCAGUGAAGAAGACUCCRUGGUUAAUACCCAYGGACGAUGACAUUAGCUGCAGAAUAAGCACCGGCUAACUCUGUGCCAGCAGCCGCGGUAAUACAGAGGGUGCAAGCGUUAAUCGGAAUUACUGGGCGUAAAGGGAGCGUAGGUGGCUCKAUAAGUCAGAUGUGAAAUCCCCGGGCUYAACCUGGGAACUGCAUCUGAAACUGUAGAGCUAGAGUAUGUGAGAGGAAGGUAGAAUUCCAGGUGUAGCGGUGAAAUGCGUAGAGAUCUGGAGGAAUACCGAUGGCGAAGGCAGCCUUCUGGCAUAAUACUGACACUGAGGCUCGAAAGCGUGGGUAGCAAACAGGAUUAGAUACCCUGGUAGUCCACGCCGUAAACGAUGUCUACUAGUCGUUGGGUCCCUUGAGGACUUAGUGACGCAGCUAACGCAAUAAGUAGACCGCCUGGGGAGUACGGCCGCAAGGUUAAAACUCAA